This 499-nucleotide ribosomal RNA is filed under the name uncultured bacterium. Its description in RNAcentral is "bacterial SSU rRNA". It matches the Rfam family "Bacterial small subunit ribosomal RNA", at positions 17 to 518 of the family's 1533-position model. The record is from RNAcentral.
UCCUGGCUCAGGAUGAACGCUGGCGGCGUGCUUAACACAUGCAAGUCGAGCGAAGCAUUUAAAGGAAGUUUCGGAUGGAAUUAGAAUGACUUAGCGGCGGACGGGUGAGUAACGCGUGGGUAACCUGCCUCAUACAGGGGGAUAACAGUUAGAAAUGACUGCUAAUACCGCAUAAGCGCACAGUGCUGCAUAGCACAGUGUGAAAAACUCCGGUGGUAUGAGAUGGACCCGCGUCUGAUUAGGUAGUUGGUGAGGUAACGGCUCACCAAGCCGACGAUCAGUAGCCGACCUGAGAGGGUGACCGGCCACAUUGGGACUGAGACACGGCCCAAACUCCUACGGGAGGCAGCAGUGGGGAAUAUUGGACAAUGGGGGAAACCCUGAAUCCAGCGACGCCGCGUGAGUGAAGAAGUAUUUCGGUAUGUAAAGCUCUAUCAGCAGGGAAGAAAAUGACGGUACCUGACUAAGAAGCCCCGGCUAACUACGUGCCAGCCGCCGC